CAAUUGAAUAACCCUAAUUUCUUCUUCAUCUAAAUUCUGCCGAAAUUGCAUCAAAUUGCCCUUUGAAGUUUUAAUCUUUGAAAGCAAAGUUGUUGCAAUGCCUUCAAAAGGCUUGAAUUUGACAAGGCUUUGCACGGAAGAGGAAGAAAAUGAGUCAAGUGGAGAAAUUUGAUGCAACCAUGGCUAUGUGUUGCCUUUCUUAACAGCUUGGACCCACAGGAACCCAGGAAGAAGAUAUUGGGUUUGUCCAUACUAAGGGGGUCCACGAUCUUGUGAUUUUUGGGUUUGGAAGGAUUCCGAAAUUGAUCCUAUGUCCAAAUUUGUUAUUCCAAAUUUGCUUGACAAAAUGGGUGAACUUGAGACUGCAUUAGAAGACUCUGAAAAUCUUGCCAAGCCGAGGGCAACUUUAAAGGUUGAAAACACCAUAGAAGAGGAGAAGAUGAAGAAGAUUGAGGCUCAAUUGGUGAAAUUGUUGAUAUGGAGAAGAUGAAAGAGAAGGAAAAAAAGUGGAAGAGCAAAUUGGCUAGGUCCAAGGCUAGAAAAAAUGUACUUUGGUUCAUUAUAUUGGGGAUGUGUAUUAUACUUGUUGCUUGUAGGUAUCCAGAAAUGUCAUUGAAAGAAGAUUCAAUGAGGUUUCCAUUUUGAAUCUAAUUUUGUCAUCUCAAUAUGUAUGUAGUUGUUGCUUAUAGGUAUUAUUUUGUAUGUUUGU
Molecule: long non-coding RNA, 709 nt
Organism: Nicotiana tabacum (common tobacco)
Lineage: Eukaryota; Viridiplantae; Streptophyta; Magnoliopsida; Solanales; Solanaceae
Source: RefSeq, a predicted model, not a curated record